CGGUAGCUAAUACCGCAUAACGUCGCAAAGACCAAAGAGGGGGACCUUCGGGCCUCUUGCCAUCGGAUGUGCCCAGAUGGGAUUAGCUAGUAGAGUGGGGUAACGGCUCUACCUAGGCGACGAUCCCUAGCUGGUCUGAGAGGAUGACCAACCACACUGGAACUGAGACACGGUCCAGACUCCUACGGGAGGCAGCAGUGGGAAACAUUGCACAAAUCGGGCAGCAAGCCUGAAUGUCAACCAUGCCCCGUGAAUGAAGAAGGCCUUCGGGUUGUAAAGUACUUUCAGCGAGGAAGGAAGGGAGUAAAGUCAAUACCUUUGCUCAUUGACGUUACCCGCAGAAGAAGCAGGCCAAAACUCCUGUGCCAGCAGCCGCGGUAAUACGGAGGGGUGCAAGCGUUAAUCGGAAAUUACUGGGCGUAAAGCGCACGCAGGCGGUUUGUUAAGUCAGAUGUGAAAUCCCCGGGCUCAACCUGGGAACUGCAUCUGAUUACUGGCAAGCUUGAGUCUCGUAGAGGGGGGUAGAAUUCCAGGUGUAGCGGUGAAAUGCUAGAGAUCUGGAGGAAUACCGGGUGGCGAAGGCGGCCCCCUGGACGAAGACUGACGCUCAGGUGCGAAAGCGUGGGGAGCAAAGCAGGAUUAGAUACCCUGGUAGUCCACGCCGUAAACGAUGUCGACUUGGAGUUGUGCACCUUGAGGCGUGGCUUCCGGAGCUAACGCGUUAAGUCGACCGCCUGGGGAGUACGGCCGCAAGGUUAAAACGUCAAAUGAAUUGACGGGGGCCCGCACAAGCGGUGGGAGCAUGUGGUUUAAUUCGAUGCAAAGCGUGAAGAACCUUACCCUGGUCUUGACAUCCACAGGAAGUUUUCAGAGAUGGAG
This 879-nucleotide ribosomal RNA is filed under the name Escherichia coli. RNAcentral's name for it is "bacterial SSU rRNA". It matches the Rfam family "Bacterial small subunit ribosomal RNA", at positions 157 to 1011 of the family's 1533-position model. The record is from RNAcentral. Lineage: Bacteria; Pseudomonadati; Pseudomonadota; Gammaproteobacteria; Enterobacterales; Enterobacteriaceae.